CCUACGGGAGGCAGCAGUGGGGAAUCUUGCGCAAUGGGCGAAAGCCUGACGCAGCAACGCCGCGUGGGGGAUGAAGGCUUUCGGGUUGUAAACCCCUUUCAGCAGGGACGAAUCAAGACGGUACCUGCAGAAGAAGCCCCGGCUAACUACGUGCCAGCAGCCGCGGUAACACGUAGGGGGCAAGCGUUGUCCGGAUUUAUUGGGCGUAAAGAGCUCGUAGGUGGCUGAGUAAGUCGGGUGUCAAAUCUUCAGGCUCAACCUGGAGCUCCACCCGAUACUGCUCUGGCUAGAGUCCGGUAGGGGAGCGUGGAAUUCCUGGUGUAGCGGUGAAAUGCGCAGAUAUCAGGAGGAACACCAGCGGCGAAGGCGGCGCUCUGGGCCGGUACUGACACUGAGGAGCGAAAGCGUGGGUAGCAAACAGGAUUAGAUACCCUGGUAGUCCACGCCGUAAACGUUGGGCACUAGGUGUGGGGGUCUAUUCAACGGACUCCGUGCCGUCGCUAACGCAUUAAGUGCCCGCCUGGGGAGUACGGCCGCAAGGCUAAAACUCAAAGGAAUUGACGG
RNAcentral lists this ribosomal RNA (564 nucleotides) under uncultured bacterium. Its description in RNAcentral is "bacterial SSU rRNA". It matches the Rfam family "Bacterial small subunit ribosomal RNA", at positions 338 to 916 of the family's 1533-position model. The record is from RNAcentral.